UUGGAGGGGCAAGUCUGGUGCCAGCAGCCGCGGUAAUUCCAGCUCCAAUAGCGUAUAUUAAAGUUGUUGCGGUUAAAAAGCUCGUAGUCUGAGGUCUGUUCCGGACUGGCUGGGGAGGUCACCGCCCGGUGCUUCCCCGUCAGGUUCCGAACAGCUUCUGCCGCGAGCGGAAGCCAUGCCGGUUCUCUCGGGGUGCUCUUGACCGAGUGUCCCGUGUGGCCGGCAGGUUCACCUUGAACAAAUGAGAGUGCUCAAAGCAGGCUACUCUAAAACUAAAGCCCGAAUGUUAACUGCAUGGAAUGAUGAAAGAUGAUCUCGGUUCUAUUUUACUGGCUUGUAUAAACCGAGUUAAUGAUAAACAGGGACUGUCGGGGGCAUCCGUACUACGACGCGAGAGGUGAAAUUCAGUGACCGUCGUAGGACGAACAACAGCGAAAGCAUUUGCCAAGAAUGUCUUCGUUGAUCAAGAACGAAAGUUAGAGGAUCGAAGGCGAUCAGAUACCGCCCUAGUUCUAACCCUAAACGAUGCUAACUAGCUAUUCGCCGGCGUUAUUCCCAUGACGUGGCGAGACGCCCCCGGGAAACCUCAAGUCUUUGAGUUCCGGGGGUAGUAUGGUUGCAAAACUGAAACUUAAAGGAAUUGACGGAAGGGCACCACCAGGAGUGGAGCCUGCGGCUUAAUUUGACYCAACACGGGAAACCUCACCAGGCCCGGACACCUGAAGGAUUGACAGAUUAAGAGCUCUUUUCUCGAUUUGGUGGGUGGUGGUGCAUGGCCGUUCUUAGUUGGUGGAGUGAUUUGUCUGGUUAAUUCCGGUAACGAACGAGACUCUGGCCUACUAACUAGUGGAUGGGUGUUCUGACAGUGGGGCCCCAUCCGAUAAUGUCUUCUUAGAGGGAUGAGCAGCGAGUAUAGCUGCAGGAGAUUGAGCAAUAACAGGUCUGUG
This 947-nucleotide ribosomal RNA is filed under the name Synalpheus ruetzleri. Its description in RNAcentral is "SSU rRNA". It matches the Rfam family "Eukaryotic small subunit ribosomal RNA", at positions 550 to 1485 of the family's 1831-position model. Lineage: Eukaryota; Metazoa; Arthropoda; Malacostraca; Decapoda; Alpheidae. The record is from RNAcentral.